Molecule: unclassified non-coding RNA, 227 nt
Filed under: Hevea brasiliensis (rubber tree)
Lineage: Eukaryota; Viridiplantae; Streptophyta; Magnoliopsida; Malpighiales; Euphorbiaceae
Source: RNAcentral
UAUGAUUUCUCGCAUAGCUAUUUUUUAACAACCAUAAGUUUAUGCCAUCAAAUUCGAAUCUGUUGAUGAAAAGUGUAUCGUUGAGGCCUCAUUUCACUUCAAACAUGAUAGCGUGGAGAUAAUUAAGUGUGGGAUCCAUCCUAUAUAUAGUAGAAAGAGGAGCAGAAAUGAAGAGCAUCAGGAUGACGAGGAACACCAACCAGCUCUUCAAAGAUUGGAAGAAGAAA